UACGUAGGGUGCGAGCGUUAAUCGGAAUUACUGGGCGUAAAGCGUGCGCAGGCGGUUUUUUAAGACAGGCGUGAAAUCCCCGGGCUUAACCUGGGAACGGCGCUUGUGACUGGAAGGCUAGAGUACGGCAGAGGGGGGGUGGAAUUCCACGUGUAGCAGUGAAAUGCGUAGAGAUGUGGAGGAACACCGAUGGCGAAGGCAGCCCCCUGGGCCGAUACUGACGCUCAUGCACGAAAGCGUGGGGGAGCAAACAGG
This 255-nucleotide ribosomal RNA is filed under the name uncultured bacterium. Its description in RNAcentral is "partial 16S ribosomal RNA". It matches the Rfam family "Bacterial small subunit ribosomal RNA", at positions 524 to 776 of the family's 1533-position model. The record is from RNAcentral.